CUGUGCUAAGUGGGGAGUUAGCGGCACCCUGUACCUGCAAUCCGCUAUAGCAGGACCGAAUGCCUUUUUAGACGAAACAAAUGGAAAGCCGCGCCUUAUAAGGGGUGUUGAUAGCAAGGUCUUAUGCAACCGGCAACUGCGAACCGUGUCAGGACAGGGAUGUAGCAGCACUAAACAGUCCCGCCGGUGUGCCAUGAGGUAGCUUUGGAGGAGCCACCUGUAAGGUUUACGUUUCGGUUUGUUUCGGCGACGAAGGCUGCACAG
This 264-nucleotide signal recognition particle RNA is filed under the name Clostridia bacterium. RNAcentral describes it as "signal recognition particle sRNA large type". It matches the Rfam family "Bacterial large signal recognition particle RNA". From Rfam's summary of the family: The signal recognition particle (SRP) is a universally conserved ribonucleoprotein involved in the co-translational targeting of proteins to membranes. Archaeal SRP consists of a 7S RNA and homologues of the eukaryotic SRP19 and SRP54 proteins. The record is from RNAcentral. Lineage: Bacteria; Bacillati; Bacillota; Clostridia.